This 1646-nucleotide long non-coding RNA is filed under the name Mus musculus (house mouse). Its description in RNAcentral is "long non-coding RNA chr2:140701532-140703178". The record is from RNAcentral. Lineage: Eukaryota; Metazoa; Chordata; Mammalia; Rodentia; Muridae.
AACACCCAGCUUUUCAGAGUUAGGGCAAAAUGUGUAGGUUUUUAAGGAAGGAUAACUUGACACAAGAUACUUAGAAUCCUAACCCCCGAUCAGGAACCACAGGAGCAGCUGAAGCAGUUACCUCAAUGGUCCAUCUCUUCUUUAUUUCCUUGUGUGGAUUUAUACCAAUUCUUCAGGAAAUUAUAAAAGAAAAUAGAUUUCCAAUUUCCACAUUCUAGAAUGAGAAAGCUCAGUAGAUUCCCAUGAUUUCCAAGUCAACAUCCUCUGCGUGGUCUCACGCUAUUGUGGCAAUCUUCCCCAGCCUCUUCCACAGAACUUCCUGUUGUGACCUCUUAAAAGUACAUAUUUAGUUUUCAUGAGUUUCCAUGUCUUGUCUCCUUAUCUUAGGAAUGGGGCCAAGAGUGAUUUGUCAUUGCUGCAGCUGGGUCUGAGUAGAAUCCACCGAUCUAGAGAGUGGCCAUGAGCUGACCUGACUCUUGGCUCACCUCACAUUCCUCACACUUAAGAUAUCAAUAGUGCAAAAUCUCCAUAUCUUUUCCUACUCAAUGGUUCCCCUUAAUUUGCUGGUUUGGUGCUUAUCUCUCAUACGAUUGCUACUAAAUUCAGGAUCUAACAGCUUUACAAAAUUGGCCAAAAAUAGAACACAUAAAAGUAGAAGUGUUGACCAGUCUUAAUUAGGACAUUAAAUCCAAUAUGGCAGACUGUGUCCAGCUCUGACACUAUUAAGGUAUCACAACAGUAUAACUUAGUUUCAAGGAAAUGAACAGAAAACAGUGACUACAAUAGAAUGAAAUGUAGAAACAGACAGACAAUGUCUGUGUACAAUAAAUUGAGUCUUUUGUCUUUUUUUGGUGGUAUAUUUUUAGUUUCCUGGAUAAACUGUUUAAAAUUUAAAUGCAUCAUAGCAGGAAAGUAAGGUAAACUGCCUCUUUGCUUUUCUGAUGUUGCCCCUCUCUUCCCCACCCCAAUAUUCUGGUUGGUUGGCAGUCCUCUCUUCUGUCCAUUUUUCCUUAUUUAUGGUAGACUGUCUACUUUCUGAUACCAUUUUGUGUUUUUGGAAGGUCCUAUGAGGUGUGUCUAAAAUGACUAUCUACUUGUGCUUCAAAGACUUUUUGCUUAGAAGUUAGUUUUACCCGUCCAGUAACCAGAUGGGAAAGAAUAUGAUCAGAAGUUUUCAUUGGUUCUGUGUGCUCUGUGUUCUUGCUCCUCCUUCCAGUGUGGCAUGUUAGGAUCAUGAUGUUCCCUGGAACAUACUGUCAACUCAUUUAUUGUGGUCCAUUCUUUGAUUUUCCUUUAAGUCUUCAACUCUUUUACCAUUGCAAGGGCUCCCUUAAACCUACUAAAGACUCGUAAGGUUUCUAAAAGACAUGGACAGUUGCUACACCCUUCUCCAUAGACAUGGUGGCAAAAGAUAUAGCAAAUAUGAAAGCAGCAAGGAAUGACUGCUCUUUCUGCAGCCCUGUUGUCUGAGACUUCAGAUUUCCAAGGGGGAAAACACAGAGGAAAUACCUUGUGACCAUCCCUUUCUGUGUAAUUCUAGAUGUCUGGUAAAAUUUGGUAUAAGAUUUUAUAUAAAAUCUCUCCUAAUUUUAAGAAUGAGAUGAAGUUCAUUUAGGCAAUGUUGCUUUCCUUAGCAGCUGUUUAGG